GCCCUGGGCGCGGAGCGAGGACUCUGGUCAGAGGUAAUUAUGUCACCGCGUUUUCUCGCCGUGACAGCCGAAUAAACACGAUCUCCAAUAAACAUCUCUAAUGAGGGAGGAGGCCCGAGGAUGGCUGGGUUUGAUUUAUGACUGGAGGAGAAGGUCCACUUCCCACUGCGAAGCAGGCGACCUGCUCGCCGCCCAGCUCCAGGGAGAGGAACCCGCGGAGGAGAGGAUCCCGGCCCAGGACUCGCCCCAACCCUCAGAGACUUUAAAGGGCCAAAUUUGUUUUGACCUACAGCCAGACCACUUUUUGUCCAACAAUAACCCAGAAGCGGGUCAGAUUCCAUCCCCUGUGCCCAGCAGCAGGUGAGGACGUUGCACUUGGUGGCAGCAGGACAAACAGUACUGAAGUUAUGCCUGGGCCUCAGGCCAAGUAGCUCGGACACCUCCAGGGAAGAUCGACCAUCGGGCUUUAUGCUUUUAGCAGGCAACUUCUCCUGGCUCGGAUGAUCUAGAGCAGUGAUUUUCCAGCAGUUCCUGGGGGUCUGGUGAGAAGAAGACAGGCCUGGAGUUGAAGGAGAGAAAAAAGGCUGGGCUGGCCUGUUGGAAGGAGACUUCCACCUCUGCAAGCAUCCCCAUCUUGUUUGGAUUGCAAACUCAGUUGCCAGCCAAGCAAGAUGAGGGGAACGGCUUUGGACUCGGGCUGACUUGGACCACAUCCCAUCUCUGCCGCCAUCUGAGCUCUGUGACCGUGAAGUGCUCCUACCACCCUUCUGAGCUUUUGUUUUCUUCACCUGUAAAAGUGCAGGAAGAAUACUUACCUGUCACCAGAAUAUUCCAAGAAUUAGAAUUAAUGUUUGGAAAGUUGUUGACACCUAGCAGGUACUCAAAAAAUGGUGGCUAUUACUACUACAUUCUACAGUCUCUGCGCUACUUUGAAAGGACUUGCUUCUAGGGGAGCUUAUUUCUAAUGGGGAGAUAUUUUGGUUUUGAAGUAAAAUCUAUACCGUGUUAGAUGGGAGGUGUGCUUUAGAGAAAAAAUAAAGCAGGGAUGGGAGACUGAGAUGGCUGGGGAGCCUGAGGAAAGCCCCAUUUAUAGGUCUAAGAAUGAGAGAGAGUUUCUUUCUUAAAUUCCCUCUCCCUACUUUAUCAAAGAGAUUUUACUUCCAAAUAAGUGUAAACGGGAAAAGGGAACAGAGCCUGAAAGACACUCAAAACAGACACUCAAAAAUGCUGUCCUAGGGAGUCAGCUGGGGUGUCAUCACUGACGUGGGACUUAGGGUGUUGAGCUGGAGUCCUGGUUUGUCAUUUGAAAAGAGAAAUCCUGAUCAAGUUGUUGUACUGCUCUUUGACUCUAUUUCCUUAACUGUAAAUUAGAGGUAAGAAUCCCUGUCUCACGUGCACGAGCAGGAGAGGCUUUCUGGUCUGUUGGGAUUCUCAGAUUCACAAGGAUCAGGACGUGGCCAUUGAAAGCUGCCAUCCCAAGAGGCAAAACUAUGGAAGAUAGGAAGGAAAUCCGUACUUACCUCACUCUGCUCCCUCCUCCUUUCCGUGCCUGCGUGCACACACACACGCAUGCACACACCCUGAGGUUGUCAGGGGACUAGAGGUGUUGUCCUUGAAAGUGAAAGUCAUUCCAAGGCAAAGGAAAUGUACUGGUGUUGAGAAGGUUCGGUAGGGCCCCUUCCAACGGGAAUGGCUGACUCGCCAUGUCCUCUAAAGAUGCUGCCUUGAUUCGUGGAUUUCAGCAUUGUCCAAGCUCUGUGGCACCAUGGACUGGUUGUAUGUCACUGACAAGCAAAUGCUUAGUCCUGUGCUGUAU
RNAcentral lists this long non-coding RNA (1816 nucleotides) under Homo sapiens (human). RNAcentral describes it as "PAX6 upstream antisense RNA". The record is from RNAcentral. Lineage: Eukaryota; Metazoa; Chordata; Mammalia; Primates; Hominidae.